CCUUUCCCCGCCUCCUCUAACUGAGGCGGGGAAAGGCCAGGAGCGCUGCCGAGGCGGAGGCUGGGCCAAGAUGGCCGCCCUGGCGUUAGGCCGGAGCCUCGGCCUAGAGUGAGGAGCGGCCGCCACCGCGGCUCCCGUCGCCUUCCUUGGAUUUGCUGCCAAAUCAAUGAAAGGCAGAAAGCCCCGUUAUGAUGGAUCCCUGGUUCAGCUGACCAGAAGAUUCAUGGAACUUGUUAAAGCUGCUCCAGAAGGAGUCCUGGAUUUGAAUGAAGUAUCUCGUUUGCUAGGAGUACGGAAGCGAAGAGUAUAUGAUAUUACGAAUGUCUUGGAUGGAAUACAUCUUGUUCAGAAAAGAUCCAAGAAUCAUAUCCAAUGGGUGGGUUCAGAUAUUAAGCAUAUUACCAAACAAACACCGGAGCAACAGGAGUUAAGAGAUGAACUCUGUGAUUUGACAACAAUGGAAGAAGCAUUGGAUGAAUUAAUCAAAGAUUGCUCUCAUCAGUUGUUUGACUUAACAGACGAUAAAGAAAAUGCACAAUUAGCUUAUGUGACCUAUCAAGAUAUCCAUAACAUUCAGACAUUUCAAGAACAGAUUGUGAUUGCAAUUAAAGCUCCAGAAGGGACCAAGAUGGAAGUACCCCCUCCUAAAGAAGACUGCAUAGAAGUACACGUUAGAAGCACAAAAGGCCCCAUUGACGUUUACUUAUGUGAGGUAUCGUUAGAUAAUCCAGAUGUUAACGCUUCUGAAAACACAGAUCAACUUUUAUGCGAAAGCAAAUAGGCUGACUUGCUGGAGGUAAAGUACUGAACUGAAAAGAGAUCAGUAGAGGUGUGUGAAAAGAACUAGGCUCAAGUGAAUCGUAUGAAGAGUGGGAGAAAAAGUGAAGGAUUUGAUUUCUAAACUUCAGUUUCAAGGAUUUCCCAAGGUUUAAAUCACUAUGGACCAAUGCAGAGAUAACAGGCAUUUCUCUUAUUAUUAUUAUUAUUAUUUUAAAGAAUGAAAUUGUGGACACCUCAUCUGAGAGAAUUCGCUUCCUGUUUCGGGCAUUCCCAAUGGCAUAAAAGAGAAGAAUUAAAGGAACAUAUUUCCUUUAACCCUCUAUAUCAGAUCCAAGGUUUAUUUACGCUGGAAAAAUGACAGUUAGCCCAAGACAAAUGCAGAGACAUAGACUAAGGAGUACUGCUUAAGCAAGUCAGGCUUAAGUUUUACAAAAGUGGCUUAGGCUUGUCUUCUGAUACAAGGUUCAUAAAUCCAUAUAGUACCUACUGUAAUUUAUUUCAUAUAACUGGCUUCUUUUGCAGCUCAGCGAAUAGUAGCAUUUGGGUUACUUGUACUGCUCUUUCAAAAGAUAGCUCUUUGAAACUGAAGAAAUGUAUUUACGCUUGCUUGCACAACAGUUGCUCCAAGGUUGUUUUGAACAUGGAAUAAAAUAUAAAAAUCCAAAAGGGGAGAUGUUUUAUACAAGGAAACUAGAGUAGAAGAAAUAAAGUUUCAAA
This is an RNA transcript of Thamnophis elegans (Western terrestrial garter snake), 1497 nucleotides long. It is a transcript of the gene named E2F transcription factor 6, with no coding region annotated. The record is from RefSeq and is a predicted model, not a curated record. Lineage: Eukaryota; Metazoa; Chordata; Lepidosauria; Squamata; Natricidae. The transcript has 6 exons.